CCUACGGGGCGCAGCAGUGGGGAAUAUUGGACAAUGGGCGAAAGCCUGAUCCAGCCAUGCCGCGUGUGAAGAAGGCCUUCGGGUUGUAAAGCACUUUCAGUGGGGAAGAAAGCCUUGGGGCUAAUACCCUCGAGGAAGGACAUCACCCACAGAAGAAGCACCGGCUAACUCCGUGCCAGCAGCCGCGGUAAUACGGAGGGUGCGAGCGUUAAUCGGAAUUACUGGGCGUAAAGCGCGCGUAGGCGGUCUGAUAAGCCGGUUGUGAAAGCCCCGGGCUCAACCUGGGAACGGCAUCCGGAACUGUCAGGCUAGAGUGCAGGAGAGGAAGGUAGAAUUCCCGGUGUAGCGGUGAAAUGCGUAGAGAUCGGGAGGAAUACCAGUGGCGAAGGCGGCCUUCUGGACUGACACUGACGCUGAGGUGCGAAAGCGUGGGUAGCAAACAGGAUUAGAUACCCCGUAGUC
This 462-nucleotide ribosomal RNA is filed under the name Vreelandella stevensii. RNAcentral describes it as "partial 16S ribosomal RNA". It matches the Rfam family "Bacterial small subunit ribosomal RNA", at positions 338 to 795 of the family's 1533-position model. Lineage: Bacteria; Pseudomonadati; Pseudomonadota; Gammaproteobacteria; Oceanospirillales; Halomonadaceae. The record is from RNAcentral.